GCGCCGCCAUGUCGGUUGAGGGCAGAGAAAAGAGCGGGCGCCGCCGUAUUGAGGGCGGUGAGAAAGGGGUGUGGGCGCCGCCAUGUUGGUUGAGGGCGGUGAGCCGCCAUGUUGGUUGAGGGCGGAGAGGGAGGGGAGCCGCCAUGUUGGUUGAGGUCAGGGGGCGUGGCUUGCACAGGAAGGGCAGUCUGGAUUUUCCACCGUGGCGUGGGGACAUCGCUAUGGGGCAGUGCCCUCGCUAUGGGGCAGAGACGCCAUUGCUCUGGGGCAGCGCAGUCGCUAUGGGGCAGAAACGCCAUCGCUAUGGGGCAGCGCAGUCGCUAUGGGGCAGAGACGCCAUUGCUAUGGGGCAGCACCAUCGCUAUGGGGCAGUGCCCUCGCUAUGGGGCGGCGCAGUCGCUAUGGGGCAGAGACGCCAUCGCUAUGGGGCAGAGACGCCAUCGCUAUGGGGCAGAGACGCCAUCGCUAUGAGGCGGCGCAGUCGCUAUGGGGCAGAGACGCCAUCGCUAUGAGGC
Molecule: long non-coding RNA, 515 nt
Filed under: Numida meleagris (helmeted guineafowl)
Lineage: Eukaryota; Metazoa; Chordata; Aves; Galliformes; Numididae
Description: lncRNA (ENSNMEG00000000746.1)
Source: RNAcentral